GAUCUCAGUCAGUAGAGCAUGAGACUCUUAAUUCCAGGGUUGUGGGUUCGAAUCCCACAUUGCG
This 64-nucleotide transfer RNA is filed under the name Podarcis lilfordi (Lilford's wall lizard). Its description in RNAcentral is "tRNA.Lys". The stretch from base 2 to 58 matches the Rfam family "tRNA", at positions 9 to 63 of the family's 71-position model. Rfam says of the family: Transfer RNA (tRNA) molecules are approximately 80 nucleotides in length. Their secondary structure includes four short double-helical elements and three loops (D, anti-codon, and T loops). Further hydrogen bonds mediate the characteristic L-shaped molecular structure. tRNAs have two regions of fundamental functional importance: the anti-codon, which is responsible for specific mRNA codon recognition, and the 3' end, to which the tRNAs corresponding amino acid is attached (by aminoacyl-tRNA synthetases). tRNAs cope with the degeneracy of the genetic code in two manners: having more than one tRNA (with a specific anti-codon) for a particular amino acid; and 'wobble' base-pairing, i.e. permitting non-standard base-pairing at the 3rd anti-codon position. Lineage: Eukaryota; Metazoa; Chordata; Lepidosauria; Squamata; Lacertidae. The record is from RNAcentral.